This 2289-nucleotide long non-coding RNA is filed under the name Fragaria vesca (wild strawberry). RNAcentral's name for it is "long non-coding RNA (FVES_LNC001063)". Lineage: Eukaryota; Viridiplantae; Streptophyta; Magnoliopsida; Rosales; Rosaceae. The record is from RNAcentral.
GAAUAUCUAUGUGUAUGUAAAUAUAUGUCUAUGUGAAAAGGUAUAUUAAUUAUAAUGAGGUGUUGCUUGUGUUAGUUCUAUUGAUGUGGUUAUUUAUGCCUUGUUGAAAUAUAUGUCAUUUGGAUGAGUAUUAUUGUGAUGUCUAAGUUGAGCUAAUUGUGACUUAUUUGAUGUUCUAAGCCAAAGAAAUUUUGCUUGAUUGGUGAAAUUGUGCCGUAGUAGUGAUUGUGUGUCUUAAUGGUGAUUGUAUGCAUUACACUACCAGAAGAAAGGUUUUAGCCGACAAAAAUAAAAAACCAGGCCGACGAAUUAUUUUUUCGUCGGCUAAAGUCCACUUUAGCGGACGAAAUUUCCUUUCGUCGGCUGAAAUUUCUUUUCGUCGGCUAUGGUCAACUUUAGCCGACGAAAUUAAAAUUUCGUCGUCUGAAUAAUUUUUUUCUUCGGCUAUAGUCUGUGAACUUUAGCCGAUGAAAUUUUUAAAAGUUUAGCCGACGAAAAAUAUAAUUUCGUCGGCUAAAGCAUUUAAAUAUCUACAGAUCUGGACAACAACUCAUCUGAAAAAAAAACUAUACGUAGAACCUUCAAACGCAAAAAUGUUGUGAAAUAAGAUAUGACCAGAAUGGUGAAAUACGUCUACGGUUGAAAAAUCACGGUAUUCCGGUAAAGUCUUGGUGCCGAUAGUUGCGGUCAAUGCAAUUUACCCUUAUUAUUCACUAUGCUGCAGAUUUGGUUUUUGGUGUCUGAUUGACUAUUGUGAUACCUUUCCGGAAGCGUAACGGCCCUACGAGUCAAACUCAUCGCUAUGCCAUGAUGUAUGGGCCUUUUUGGCCAUCCGAGUUCGUUUAGGGCUUCAAAAUGCAGUUUUCUUAUUUCCGACUAGAGUUGACCGUUUCGAUCGAGCCCUUAACGUUGUCGAAUCCAGUUGAAUUUUUUACCAUAGACAUCUUUCGUCAUAAUGAUCAUAUCUAACGGUCGAAUUUUGGUUUGUAAAUUUUAGUCAUCGGAAUCACAACGUGUCUACUAUUUACCGUUAUUAUUCCCUAUGGGGAGCCCUAUCGUCGGAAGGUAAAUGUCUCAAAAUUUUUAUAUGGGCAGUUGCGGCUCAUCUACAUGAGAGUUUUUCGUGAGGAAGAUUUGAUCAAACUAUGUAAUAUAGAGGGAGAUAUGAGCGUUUUCGUGUGAUAAGUGACGAUGGAUAAGGGUUGACCGUUUCGAUCGAGCCCUUAACGUUGUCGGAUCCAGUUGAAUUUUUUACCAUAGACAUCUUUCGUCAUAAUGAUCAUAUCUGACGGUCGAAUUUUGGUUUGUAAAUUUUAGUCAUCAGAAUCACAGCGUGUCUACUAAUGUUGUAUAACUUGUUUAGUAGGUUAUACAACUUUGUGAACCAACUCUACAUAGGAAGCAAAAUUAUCAAAAAUCUCGUGAAAUAAGAUGUGUUCAGAAUGGUGAAAUACAGCUAUGGUUCAAAAAUCACAUAAAUCAGAUAAAGUCUCGGUGCCGAUAGUAGCGGUCAACCCUAUUUAGCGUUAUUAUUCCCUAUGGGGAGCCCUAUCGUCGGAAGGUAAAUGUCUCAAAAUUUUAUAUAUGGAUAAGUUGUUUGUAGUACUAAUCAAACUCAACUUAUCCAUAUAUAGAACUCAUCAAAUGGUGACUUGAGGAAGGAGAAAUUCGAUCGACACCCAAUCUGAACCGGCGGAGUUUUGGAGCUCGAUUUAUCCCUCACGGUGGUGCCACUCGAUGCACCACCUGUCCAGCAAUGAAGUAGAGAUGACGGCGAAACUUUUGGGACAAGUGUGGCGGUCUCCGGUGGCUUGACGGCGGAGCUAGGCCGAGAAGAAAUUCUGGCAGGCGAAAUAGACUUCUUACCAUCCACCUUCGGUAAAACUCCUAUAUAAAGAAUUUUAGCUGACGAAAUUCUUUAUUUUCGUCGGCUAAACUCUUUUAAAAAUUUUGAAAAUUUUGAAAAUUUUGGUUGACCGCCAAAAAAUUUUGGUUGAAAAUUUUGAAAUUUUUUCGACUUUAGCCGACGACUUUUCAUAUAUUUUCGUCGGCUAAAGUCCUUUGAAAAUUUUCCUCCAAAUUUGGUUUACAGCCCAAAAAUUUUUGACCUUAGCCGACGACUUUUUUAAUAUCUCAUCGGUUAAAGUCUAUAAAUUCACGAAAAUGCUCAUAUCUCUCUCUAUAUUACGUAGUUUGGUCAAACCUUCCACACGAAAAACUUUCACGUAGAUGAGACGCAACUGCCUAAACAGGUCAAUUGAAUCAAAAUNNNNNNNNNNNNNNNNNNNN